UACAGAGGUCUCAAGCGUUGUUCGGAUUCAUUGGGCGUAAAGGGUGCGUAGGCGGCGCGGUAAGUCGGGUGUGAAAUCUCGGAGCUUAACUCCGAAACUGCAUUCGAUACUGCCGUGCUUGAGGACUGGAGAGGAGACUGGAAUUUACGGUGUAGCGGUGAAAUGCGUAGAUAUCGGGAAGAACACCAAAGGCGAAAGCACUUUGCUGGGCCGAAACUGACACUGAUAGACGAAAGCUAGGGGAGCAAAUGGG
RNAcentral lists this ribosomal RNA (253 nucleotides) under uncultured bacterium. RNAcentral's name for it is "partial 16S ribosomal RNA". It matches the Rfam family "Bacterial small subunit ribosomal RNA", at positions 524 to 776 of the family's 1533-position model. The record is from RNAcentral.